RNAcentral lists this ribosomal RNA (292 nucleotides) under uncultured bacterium. Its description in RNAcentral is "partial 16S ribosomal RNA". It matches the Rfam family "Bacterial small subunit ribosomal RNA", at positions 505 to 796 of the family's 1533-position model. The record is from RNAcentral.
GUGCCAGCCGCCGCGGUAAGACAGAGGGUGCAAACGUUGUUCGGAAUUACUGGGCGUAAAGCGCGUGUAGGUGGCAAGGUAAGUCGGGUGUGAAAGCCCUGGGCUCAACCCGGGAAGUGCAUUCGAUACUGCCAAGCUAGAGUCUCGGAGAGGAUGGUGGAACUCUCGGUGUAGAGGUGAAAUUCGUAGAUAUCGAGAAGAACACCGGUGGCGAAGGCGGCCAUCUGGACGGUGACUGACACUGAGACGCGAAAGCGUGGGGAGCAAACAGGAUUAGAAACCCGCGUAGUCC